Molecule: non-coding RNA, 1720 nt
Organism: Cajanus cajan (pigeon pea)
Lineage: Eukaryota; Viridiplantae; Streptophyta; Magnoliopsida; Fabales; Fabaceae
Source: RefSeq, a predicted model, not a curated record
UCCACCGUGCCACAUCCACAACACUUCUCUCCUUUCCUCGCACUGCACAACAUCUGUUAGGGUUUUCAUUUUUUCUCCUUUUCCUAAUUUUUCUCACCGCAUAACACUUCAUUUUUUGUGUGCUUUUGAAUGUAGAGUUGAAGUACCAACUCAAUGAGAUAGAAGACAAUGCUUAUAAUCUGAAAAAAUGUAGAAGCAGAUGUUGGCUGAAGGAGAGGGAAGGGAAUGCUAAUUUCUCAGUUUUGUAAGAGUUAUAAUUCUUUUACGAAAAUGAAUAAGGGGUGACCGGGAGAUUACAAGGAAAACUGGUACCUAGAGUGGCACUUCGACGUAUUGAUAGUGUGGACUUUGGCAAAGACCAGAGAAAUUUCUAAAGCAGAAGAUCUUCUAAAGGGCUUAAAAAACAGGUGAAAGUGUUUUAUUUUGCAUAAGGCAUUUGAGAUACAAUAAUUCUGACAUAUUCAUGUUAUCUUACUAUAGGAUUCUGAGGAUGACUAAAAAGAAACAACAACGCAUGCAGAGAGUAAUGAUGCUAUGCUUUAGUAGCUGCUUCCAUGAAUAUAUGAAAAUGUAGUUAGAUAGUAUGUCUAGUUCAUAGCUCUUAUUCUUUAUUCUGUUGGAGUACGAGACAUGACAACCUUUCUUUGUUGCACUCACUUUGUCACAUACAACCUUAACCAAUAAUGUUACCGGAAAUUUAUCAUUUACGGGUCAUUCAGAAGUAGGGAUGGAUAUUGCACAAAUGGGUAGAUUCUAGGUUGGGUGCUGUGGCUCUUUUUACUUGUUUAAAAAAAUUAAUUACUGUUGGAUUGGAUUAGUAAAUAAGUCCUUAUUGAGUCAGUUUUGGUUCUACAUUCUUGAUUCAUUGUUUGCAUUUUGUUGAGUUAAAAAAAUUGAGAGAUAUUGUGUGUCAUGCUCAUACUCGUACUUGGAUGGUUCAACCAGAUUAUUUCCCAGCAAUAAAUAACUGCAUGAAAAACCUAUACAACUGCGUUGUUUUCUUUUCUACUGAUGUUGCUGUUAUAAUAAGGUUCUCAUUAGCAUGCUUUUGCUUUGCUUUGCUUAUUCAGAGGAAAUGUAUUUUUUCUUAGUCAAAAUUGUUUCCUCCAUUUCUCUUGUUUGAACUUAGCUUGCAGAGGCACUUUAUGCAUAUGAAAGAGGUGACGACAGACAUGGACUGGAAUUACUUGAUCCAAAUUUGUUUAGAAUAAGGCACAUGAAUUUCUCUAUGCAUAUUGGAUGCUCAUUGGUGUCAAGUACUUAGCUUCUACUGUUAAGAUUACAGAUUGAUAGUUUGCUGUUAGACUAGUACAUUUAAUUGAUACUUGAGAGGUGAUAUAUUGUUUCUGACUUCUGGAUUUGCUGAUAUAUGACUAUUCUUCAUUCUCCCUAUACGUUCUAGUUGAUUCUUAUUGGUAACAUGAUUUUCUUUUUCUGCUUUAUUUUAAUUGAAUGUAUUUUUGGAAAGCCUAACAGAGGGAACAGGGUAUUGAGCAGUAGAAGCUAGAAUCUGUCAAUAUAAAAUAUCUACGUAAUUUUCUUCAAUUUACGUAAGAUAAAUUUUAUUUAAUCAUUUUAUUCACAAUUUUAAUAACAAAAAUAUGGAAUACUUAUUCAUUUUAAGUUGUUAAAUUAUAUUAAGUCGUUUUUCUUUUCUUUUCUUUAUACUUCUAGAUAUAAGUAAUUUUUUAAAAAUAUAUGGCAAUAAAUUUUCUUGUUA